AUGAGCGACGGAAAUCAUAAUAUAAGUAGGGCUAAGAUGUUUCUGCACAAUCACUACUUGUGCCUUGGGGUUUUGCAAUUUUUUGCCCUACCUGUGCUGGUACCUUCUCUUUCUUGCUCUGCUUAUCUCAGAUUGAUGUAGUUAAUGGACACACUGGAAACGGACGGACUAUAGAAAGGCCAAAGUUACAUGUGUAUAAACUAGUGUCUUUAAAUAAGUCCAGCAAUGUGAGUGAUCAUGUAAAGAACGUACUGUCUCCCCUGAAGGCUCUAUAUAUCAAAGCUACUGACCUCAAGAAGAUAUCGACCGGGAAGAAUGACAAGGGACUCAAGCUUAGUUAUAUUGAUGGCGAUGAGGAGAUUCUUAGAUAUAGAGGCUACCCAAUUGAGGAGUUGGCAGAGAAAAGCACUUUUACCGAAGUGUCCUAUCCUAUCUCAUAAAUACGUGAGUAUUAUUCUUUUCUUUACCUUGUUUAUGUGUAGAUAAAACAUUUCGACUAAUGAUUAGCUUAUAUAGAGAUUUUAUGUCAGUGAAGACACAUGUAACUAAACAUUUCUUUACCUUGUUUAUAGGCAACCCUAACCACCCUAGUAGGUCCACCCCUGAUCCAUUGUUAAGUCAAUAAUUACCGUACUUACCAUCAGAUAAUGCUUAUUCUUAGUGGCAAUAAAAAAGCCGAUCUUGGACCUCCUUCUAAUAGCCUAAACAUUUGGGAGAGUUGGUCUUUGACAUGUUAUCAUAGCUUUCUGACCAAGCUGUGAGGUGUUUGAUUCAUGUUGUCCCCAUUCUGUAUAAUUAACUCGAAUUUCAGUACAAGUUAAAAUGGGCCUGUGCAUUGCUACAGUUCAACAC
Gastrolobium bilobum is the source of this 852-nucleotide long non-coding RNA. RefSeq lists it as uncharacterized. The transcript is spliced from 4 exons. NCBI's taxonomy places the organism in Eukaryota, Viridiplantae, Streptophyta, Magnoliopsida, Fabales, Fabaceae. The record is from RefSeq and is a predicted model, not a curated record.